UACGUAGGGUGCGAGCGUUGUCCGGAAUUAUUGGGCGUAAAGAGCUCGUAGGCGGUGUGUCACGUCGGCCGUGAAAACCUGCAGCUUAACUGUGGGCGUGCGGUCGAUACGGGCAUCACUGGAGUUCGGCAGGGGAGACUGGAAUUCCUGGUGUAGCGGUGAAAUGCGCAGAUAUCAGGAGGAACACCGGUGGCGAAGGCGGGUCUCUGGGCCGAUACUGACGCUGAGGAGCGAAAGCGUGGGGAGCGAUCCGG
RNAcentral lists this ribosomal RNA (254 nucleotides) under uncultured bacterium. RNAcentral describes it as "partial 16S ribosomal RNA". It matches the Rfam family "Bacterial small subunit ribosomal RNA", at positions 524 to 776 of the family's 1533-position model. The record is from RNAcentral.